RNAcentral lists this ribosomal RNA (496 nucleotides) under uncultured bacterium. RNAcentral's name for it is "partial 16S ribosomal RNA". It matches the Rfam family "Bacterial small subunit ribosomal RNA", at positions 29 to 507 of the family's 1533-position model. The record is from RNAcentral.
AUGAACGCUGGCGGCGUGCCUCAUCCAUGCCAGUCGAGCCAACAGACGAGGAGCUUUCUUCUCUGACGUUUGCGGCCUACGGGUUAUUAACCCCUUGUUAACCUUCCUUUAAUUCUGUGUUAACUUUGGGAAACCGGAUCUAAUUCCGGAUAAUAUUUUUAACCGCAUGGUUCAAUAGUUAAAGUCGGUUUUGCUGUCACUUAUUGAUGGAUCCUCGCCGCAUUAGCUAGUUGGUUAGGUAACGGCUUACCAAGGCAACGAUGCGUAGCCGACCUGAGAGGGGGAUAGGACAAACGGGAACGGAGACACGGUCCAGACGACUACGGGAGGAAGCAGUAGGGAAUAUUAGGCAAAGGGCGAAAGCCUGACGGAGCAAAGCCGCGUGAGUGAUGAAGGUAUUGGGAUCGUAAAAAUAUGUUAUUAGGGAAGAAAAAAUGUGUAAGAAAAUAAGCACGUAUUGACGGUAACUAAUAAGAAAGCAACGGCUAACUACGUG